UACUUUCACCGUCACCUUUCACUUACACUCUGGCAUGAUAAAGCAGACACUGGGACUGUGAUAGYACCAGGGCUGUGAUGUGGCAGUGGGAAGCCCUAGGCAAUUGCUUGCUUCAUCCAAGGAAACCAUGGGUCCUAAGAUGGUAUUUUAGGUUGAGAGAGGCAUUGUCCCCCUGCCUCAGGAGCAGGACUUGGAGAUGUCCGUUUGUUGAGGGCAAUGUUUUACUUUCUUCAAGGAUUCUCAUAUGGCAGAACAUUAACAUUUGUUCUUCCAGUUCCAUUAGGGCCCURUUGUUUGAGGGCCCAGUCCAGAGGCAGAUUUCCAGCCCACCUCUGUUUAUUCUUGAGGGUCUAUGUUACAGGCUAUUUGCUGAGACUUUGCCUUCCUUAUGUUGCCUACAAGGGAAGGAAAAGCUUGCUAGUUCUUCCCAACAUUAGAAGACUUAUUGUCUCUCUGAACUGCCUUUCAAGAGCAGAUGGUUUUGUUGUAUUGUGGAGCUGUGUAUUUUCUUUUAAUGGCUCAGCACUACUUGAAAGGCAGAUCUGGCCCUAGUGCGUUUGCCAAAUCAAAUGGUUGGCCUGCUGGGAAAACUYGGCCUAAGACUUUAAGUGGGAAGUGGUCCAACAACAAAGCAGGUCAAAAAUCCUACUUGGCUCAGAUGUAUGUUUCUCGGCUCAAGAUUUCUGACAGUAAAAAACACCAUUUUUAGCAGUGACUGUGUGAACUCCUCAUGCCUGGCCUGUUCAGAGAGUGUCAAAUAUUCUGUGUGCAUUAAAAUGAGAUAAUCUUAACUUGAAACAGAUUUUUUUUCUAAAAGAAGGCUGUGGAGGUCUCUUUUUUGGUGUAUUAAGCAUGUCAGCAAGAGAUUUUUAUUCCUYCUUGUUCCUUUAAACUCUGCCAACCCUUGUCUUUGCAGGUGGUGCUUGAAGAGGUGAUGGAAGUUUCACAAGAAAGACAUAUAUUGCUGUCUCUCCCCUUAAAUGUUAGUUCCUCAGUACAGGUCCUUGGCAAGGGCAUGUUGAGAGGUGCUAAAAUGCAUGUGGAGAAGACCUGUACCGUGCUGAAACUCCCAUGCAUCACUAUGGCCCCAUGCCCUGAAAAGCAAGAAAUUGCCCUCCGUUGGAGGCACAAGGAGUAGGAAACGGCGUUUAAGGAUGCUGAGUGUUUUGGAGGAGCAGAUGGAGGCCCAAGCUCUACCARGAGGAGGUCUACGUCAUUUCCAUGAUGGACCUGGCUUGGUGUUGAAAUGGGCAAGCAGGAGUGCUCCAUGGCUCACAGUGCUCACUGCUCAAUAAGCACUGUGCCAGCUAGAGGAUUAACUGCUGUCUAAACGUGAUUCUUGCCUGGGGAAGGUGUGAAUCUCUGGGCCUUGGAGUGGGGAGCUCAUUUCUGCUCAGGAAAGACUGGGCCACCAUCCCAGACAGGGCUGCAGUGGGAUGUCAUCUUUUCAUCUGCUGACUUCACCCAUUUGUCCCAUUGCAUAUGUCCCAGCACCUGUUUCCCAUCAGAUUGAAGGAAGGCUUGGAAAUUGAAGAGGCAUCUCCUGCCUGGAACGAACAGCAUGUGCUUGGUUGUUACUGCAUGAAUUAUGACUGUAACUGCAUGUGCUCUCACUGUCAGGUUAGCCUGACCCUGCCUCUAGGAGAGGUUCUCAGCUGCAUUUCUCACUGACUGGAGUGCAAGAAAGUCUCCCUCCUUCCCUUCAUUCAGGCCUUUGCWUCUGCCAGUCUUCAUGAAGCAAUCAAAUGCUGCUUUGCUCCCCUCAGGGUGUCUCUAUUGCUGUAUGUUGCUCCAUGACACAUGCCUUUSAUGAUUUCUUGAGCCCCAAGAGCCCCAUUCUCUCCAUCAGCAGACAGAUCCAAAUCCUUCUGGGAGGUUUUCAAACGGUGAGUGGUCAACUCGAAUUYGUAAGUGAUGUCAGAUCCCUGAGGGCCCUGCUGAGAGCCUUCAUGGUCUUGAACACGCCUAUCUUUCACCCCUGUGCAUUCUAGUACCUCACUUAAGUUCAGCACAAGUGACCCAAUCCAGCUCCAAGCUAUGAUGAUGUUUCCCUGUGCCCAUCUCUCUCUCCUGGAUAGACCCCUUGGACCCAGGCUAUAGCGCUCUUUAGGAAGAAGGGUGGAAUAAGCGAUGGGGAGUGAGUGCAUAACUGUGCUGUCAUUCCCUUCACUAGCACMAUGUAUGGUCUGUGUCCAGCAAUAAUCUAGUCCUGGCAGCAACAGCAGAGGCUCAGAAGCUUUCCAUCCUGGGRGGUCUGGAGUGUGAAUUUGGAUGCAUGAACCAAAAGGCAUCUGUGGUAAUUAACUAUUGCUCCAGCUGUGGAGAAUCAAACUGCAAGUUGUGUUUUGAAGGAAAGCUGUGAACACAGCAGAAAGCCCUAACAGAUAAGUGUUGGAGGAGGCUGCUUUCCUCAUCCCAUCCCAAAUUUCUUCCACCCUAAGAGUAGAUGCACUUUAGGCACUGUGCCCAUGGGAGGGUCUUGUAGAUGUAAUCCUAUUACUAGGGGUAAGACAGGAUCUAACCCAUUCAUAGUGCUUUUGUUAAUUAAGACUAGCUUYAAGCCUCCUUGAAUAAGAUGCCUAAUAAUCGGGCAGAGCCUGAUGUACUGUGUGCUAGCACUGUACAGAAUACAGACUUGAGAUAUCUGCCUAAAACUUUUGGGGAAAUCAGGUGAGUGAUAUUUAUGUUUGUGAUCUGAAUAUGAAUAGUUUGUUCUCACCUGUACUAACUUCAUGGAGUUGAAAGGCAAGAGACCGACAGGCUGUUGUAUAAAUAUGUGGGGCUGGAAUGAAAGGUUGCUGAAGGGAAGAGGAAUCAAAAGCAGCUAUCCUGAAGCUGGCAAGGAAUUUACAGCAUUUCUCACAUGUCUCAUUUCCUUCAGGCAUUGUGAUACAUGCUAUUUUUCUGUUUUGUUAAAAGCUAUCUCCUAGGGCUACAUGAAUAGCUGAGAAUCUCAGCUUUUGUUAAAGGAGAUGUGAUCCUUGCAUGGGUGGUGAGAAAAAGCUUAGAAGUCUUAGACUUGGAACAGAAAGCAAAUAAAACCCUAACAUCUUGACUUUU
Molecule: long non-coding RNA, 3060 nt
Organism: Nothoprocta perdicaria
Lineage: Eukaryota; Metazoa; Chordata; Aves; Tinamiformes; Tinamidae
Exons: 2
Source: RefSeq, a predicted model, not a curated record